UCCAACAAUCAGCAAAAUCUCUCUAACCUCAAAUAAGCUGCUCCCUCCAUUCCUGGAACCCCACCUUUGCACUGCCCCAUAAUCUCGAGUUGGGACCAACGUGGCCACCAGGUCUAGUCUAGGUACCAGGUCCUUUGAAAAAUCAUAAAUCAGGUCCUGCCACUCUUCUUUAAAAAUGUCGCCUUUAAGAAGAGUGGCAAACAAGAGCCUUUCAAUAUCUGGCUGCAAUCCACCUCCAUGACUCUUCCUACUCGCCAUGUGUUGUGUCUAUCAGGUGCCACCUAUUGCUACCCCAUGCUCACUCUCCAUCACCUCUCUCCUUUCUUGUCCUCCCCUGGACCCAGCUCACAAGCCCCUGACUGGGAAGCCCUUUGCCACUCCCGGACAGAGUAAGAGCUGACUCCUGGUGACCACACGGCAUUCAGGGUGCACCUUGUUUAGAGCCUCACAACCACAUACCACCCGCCUGUCUCCCCACAGACGGAGGCCUCUUUGCAGCCAGAGCCUGACUCAUUCACCUUUGCAUCUCCAGAGUUAAGCGCAGCUCCUGACCCAGAGUGCUCAAAAAAUAUUUGAGAAAUAAAUGAUUUCAGUUAACACGAAGCAGAAAAAAAAUGUAUUAUAUAUAUAUUUAUUUAUAUAUGAUAUUCAUAAUAUAUAUUUUAGUAAGAUAGCCAUCAAUUUAUUAUUAAGCCUACAUCUGUAAAUCCCAUUUUAGCAUCACGUUUAGGGAAAAAAAGAAGUUCAGUUACAUAAACUCGAUGUAUAUAGAGAGGUCACAGGAUAGCUCCCACAGAAUCAUCAGAAUGAUAUUUGUAUUUAACCUCAUUCUUAUCACUUAAAAUGAGCACUUUCCUAUAUCAUCUGGGCAUAUGUCCAUUCACCAGCUGUAUCCUUUAAAAUCUUGCAGAAUCACUGCUCCAGGUAAGCAUCCUGGACUGUCACCUGGAGAUAGGUGUAUACUCACAACUUCGCCAGAUCGAGUGUGGGCAUCUGCAGGGUAAGUGCCACGUGGCGCUGACCACACACUGAUGCUUAUCUCGCUGAAGUCCUCCAGCCCGCGACAGUCCUGGCAGGACUGCUAACCUUCGUGGGAGUCUUUCCUGUCCAUAGCCACACCCUCGUCUCCAACCAUACAGCUCCCUGUGCAUUUCCACAGCCUUUUUAAAAAUCUGUGCUCGCCUCUGUAAUUUUUAGAUAACAUUUCAGCAAUUUCAAGAGAUCGGAAAAGCA
Non-coding RNA from Vicugna pacos (alpaca), 1233 nucleotides. The record is from RefSeq and is a predicted model, not a curated record. NCBI's taxonomy places the organism in Eukaryota, Metazoa, Chordata, Mammalia, Artiodactyla, Camelidae.